Molecule: transfer RNA, 57 nt
Filed under: Oxyopes sertatus
Lineage: Eukaryota; Metazoa; Arthropoda; Arachnida; Araneae; Oxyopidae
Description: tRNA-Tyr
Source: RNAcentral
AAUUAAGAAAUCAUUGAUGAUGAACUGUAAAUUCAUAUUAGUAUACACUUUUAACCU